GAUGAACGCUGGCGGCGUGCCUAAUACAUGCAAGUCGAGCGAACAGACGAGGAGCUUGCUCCUCUGACGUUAGCGGCGGACGGGUGAGUAACACGUGGAUAACCUACCUAUAAGACUGGGAUAACUUCGGGAAACCGGAGCUAAUACCGGAUAAUAUAUUGAACCGCAUGGUUCGAUAGUGAAAGACGGUUUUGCUGUCACUUAUAGAUGGAUCCGCGCCGCAUUAGCUAGUUGGUAAGGUAACGGCUUACCAAGGCAACGAUGCGUAGCCGACCUGAGAGGGUGAUCGGCCACACGGGAACGGAGACACGGUCCAGACUCCUACGGGAGGCAGCAGUAGGGAAUCUUCCGCAAUGGGCGAAAGCCUGACGGAGCAACGCCGCGUGAGUGAUGAAGGUCUUCGGAUCGUAAAACUCUGUUAUUAGGGAAGAACAAAUGUGUAAGUAACUAUGCACGUCUUGACGGUACCUAAUCAGAAAGCCACGGCUAACUACGUG
Molecule: ribosomal RNA, 497 nt
Filed under: uncultured bacterium
Lineage: Bacteria
Description: partial 16S ribosomal RNA
Rfam family: Bacterial small subunit ribosomal RNA
Source: RNAcentral